GGGCGUGUACUAUGAAGAGAGCUAUCCAUCGACAGUAUGGUGAUAAUAGACACUGUCAUGGAGUUGCUCUCUUUGUGGAAGCCGCC
RNAcentral lists this microRNA precursor (86 nucleotides) under Dufourea novaeangliae. RNAcentral describes it as "mir-46/mir-47/mir-281 microRNA precursor family". It matches the Rfam family "mir-46/mir-47/mir-281 microRNA precursor family". From Rfam's summary of the family: The hairpin precursors (represented here) are predicted based on base pairing and cross-species conservation -- their extents are not known. In this case the mature sequences are expressed from the 3' arms of the hairpin precursors. The record is from Rfam by way of RNAcentral. Lineage: Eukaryota; Metazoa; Arthropoda; Insecta; Hymenoptera; Halictidae.